Molecule: ribosomal RNA, 254 nt
Filed under: uncultured bacterium
Lineage: Bacteria
Description: partial 16S ribosomal RNA
Rfam family: Bacterial small subunit ribosomal RNA
Source: RNAcentral
UACGAAGGGGGCUAGCGUUGCUCGGAAUCACUGGGCGUAAAGGGUGCGUAGGCGGGUCUUUUAAGUCAGGGGUGAAAUCCUGGAGCUCAACUCCAGAACUGCCUUUGAUACUGAAGAUCUUGAGUUCGGGAGAGGUGAGUGGAACUGCGAGUGUAGAGGUGAAAUUCGUAGAUAUUCGGAAGAACACCAGUGGCGAAGGCGGCUCACUGGACCGGUAUUGACGCUGAGGUGCGAAAGCGUGGGGAGCAAACAGG